GACGAACGCUGGCGGCGUGCUUAACACAUGCAAGUCGAACGGAAAGGCCCUUCGGGGUACUCGAGUGGCGAACGGGUGAGUAACACGUGGGUGAUCUGCCCUGCACUUUGGGAUAAGCCUGGGAAACUGGGUCUAAUACCGAAUAGGACCACGCGCUUCAUGGUGUGUGGUGGAAAGCUUUUGCGGUGUGGGAUGGGCCCGCGGCCUAUCAGCUUGUUGGUGGGGUAAUGGCCUACCAAGGCGACGACGGGUAGCCGGCCUGAGAGGGUGACCGGCCACACUGGGACUGAGAUACGGCCCAGACUCCUACGGGAGGCAGCAGUGGGGAAUAUUGCACAAUGGGCGCAAGCCUGAUGCAGCGACGCCGCGUGAGGGAUGACGGCCUUCGGGUUGGAAACCUCUUUCAAUAGGGACGAAGCGCAAGUGACGGUACCUAUAGAAGAAGCACCGGCCAACUACGU
RNAcentral lists this ribosomal RNA (461 nucleotides) under uncultured bacterium. RNAcentral describes it as "partial 16S ribosomal RNA". It matches the Rfam family "Bacterial small subunit ribosomal RNA", at positions 28 to 506 of the family's 1533-position model. The record is from RNAcentral.